GCCAGACUCCUACGGGAGGCAGCAGUGAGGAAUAUUGGUCAAUGGGCGGGAGCCUGAACCAGCCAUGCCGCGUGAAGGCGAGUGCCCUACGGGUGUUAAACUUCUUUUGUGCGGGAGCAAUAAGGGCCACGUGUGGCCCGAUGAGAGUACCGCACGAAUAAGCAUCGGCUAACUCCGUGCCAGCAGCCGCGGUAAUACGGGGGGUGCAAGCGUUGUCCGGAAUCAUUGGGCGUAAAGCGUUCGUAGGCGGUAUGUCAAGUCUGAUGUUAAAGCCCGGGGCUCAACUCCGGUUCGGCAUUGGAUACUGGCAAACUAGAAUGUGGUAGAGGUAAAGGGAAUUCCUGGUGUAGCGGUGAAAUGCGUAGAUAUCAGGAGGAACAUCGGUGGCGAAAGCGCUUUACUGGACCAUUAUUGACGCUGAGGAACGAAAGCCAGGGGAGCAAAUGGGAUUAGAUACCCCCGUA
Molecule: ribosomal RNA, 464 nt
Filed under: uncultured bacterium
Lineage: Bacteria
Description: bacterial SSU rRNA
Rfam family: Bacterial small subunit ribosomal RNA
Source: RNAcentral